RNAcentral lists this ribosomal RNA (497 nucleotides) under uncultured bacterium. Its description in RNAcentral is "partial 16S ribosomal RNA". It matches the Rfam family "Bacterial small subunit ribosomal RNA", at positions 28 to 507 of the family's 1533-position model. The record is from RNAcentral.
GAUGAACGCUGGCGGCGUGCCUAAUACGUGCAAGUAGAACGCUGAAGGAAGGAGCUUGCUCUUUCCGGAUGAGUUGCGAACGGGUGAGUAACGCGUAGGUAACCUGCCUGGUAGCGGGGGAUAACUAUUGGAAACGAUAGCUAAUACCGCAUAACAGUAGAUGUUGCAUGAUAUCUACUUAAAAGGUGCAAUUGCACCACUACCAGAUGGACCUGCGUUGUAUUAGCUAGUUGGUGAGGUAACGGCUCACCAAGGCGACGAUACAUAGCCGACCUGAGAGGGUGAUCGGCCACACUGGGACUGAGACACGGCCCAGACUCCUACGGGAGGCAGCAGUAGGGAGUCUUCGGCAAUGGACGGAAGUCUGACCGAGCAACGCCGCGUGAGUGAAGAAGGUUUUCGGAUCGUAAAGCUCUGUUGUAAGAGAAGAACGAGUGUGAGAGUGGAAAGUUCACACUGUGACGGUAUCUUACCAGAAAGGGACGGCUAACUACGUG